RNAcentral lists this ribosomal RNA (119 nucleotides) under Diaphorina citri (Asian citrus psyllid). Lineage: Eukaryota; Metazoa; Arthropoda; Insecta; Hemiptera; Psyllidae. The record is from RNAcentral.
GUUACUGGUGAGAGCACGUUGAAUACACCAGGUCCCCCAUGGAUCACUGAAGUUAAGCAUCGUUGUGCUUGGUUAACAUCCGGAUGAAUGAGCAUCUGGACAUUCGCGAGCUACUUAUC